This 865-nucleotide ribosomal RNA is filed under the name uncultured archaeon. RNAcentral describes it as "bacterial SSU rRNA". It matches the Rfam family "Archaeal small subunit ribosomal RNA", at positions 27 to 900 of the family's 1478-position model. The record is from RNAcentral.
CUGCUAUCGGAUUGAUACUAAGCCAUGCGAGUCAUUGUAGCAAUACAAGGCAUACGGCUCAGUAACGCGUAGUCAACCUAACCUAUGGACGGGAAUAACCUCGGGAAACUGAGAAUAAUGCCCGAUAGAACAUUAUGCCUGGAAUGGUUUAUGUUCCAAAUGAUUUAUCGCCGUAGGAUGGGACUGCGGCCUAUCAGUUUGUUGGUGAGGUAAUGGCCCACCAAGACUAUUACAGGUACGGGCUCUGAGAGGAGUAGCCCGGAGAUGGGUACUGAGACACGGACCCAGGCCCUAUGGGGCGCAGCAGGCGAGAAAACUUUGCAAUGUGCGAAAGCACGACAAGGUUAAUCCGAGUGGUUUCUGCUAAAGGAACCUUUUGUCAGUCCUAGAAACACUGAUGAAUAAGGGGUGGGCAAGUUCUGGUGUCAGCCGCCGCGGUAAAACCAGCACCUCAAGUGGUCAGAUGAUUAUGGGCCUAAAGCGUCCGUAGCCGGCUCUGUAAGUUUUCGGUUAAAUCUGUACGCUCAACGUACAGGCUGCCGGGAAUACUGCAAAGCUAGGGAGUGGGAGAGGUAGACGGUACUCGGUAGGAAGGGGUAAAAUCCUUUGAUCUAUUGAUGACCACCUGUGGCGAAGGCGGUCUACCAGAACACGUCCGACGGUGAGGGAUGAAAGCUGGGGGAGCAAACCGGAUUAGAUACCCGGGUAGUCCCAGCUGUAAACCAUGCAAACUCAGUGAUGCAUUGGCUUGUGGCCAAUGCAGUGCUGCAGGGAAGCCGUUAAGUUUGCCGCCUGGGAAGUACGUACGCAAGUAUGAAACUUAAAGGAAUUGGCGGGGGAGCACCACAAGGGGUGAAGCCUGCGG